AGAUGUGAGGGUGAUCUGGCUGCGCCAUCUGUCACCCCAUUGUUUGCCAGGGUUGAUUCGGCUGAUCUGGCUGGCUAGGCGGGUGUCCCCAUCCUCCCUCACCGCUCCAUGUGCGUCCCUCCUGAAGCUGCGUGCUCAGUCAGAGAGGACAAUCUUCCCCGCUAGAGGAGGACCGGUCUUUAGUCAAGGGUAUACGAGUAGCUGUGCUGCCCUGCGAGAACCUCCAAACAAGCUCAGAGAGAAAGGGAGGGAGACAAAGAGAUCUAUCCACGGGUUCACUCCCCGAAUGGU
This 291-nucleotide small nuclear RNA is filed under the name Oryctolagus cuniculus (rabbit). RNAcentral describes it as "7SK RNA". It matches the Rfam family "7SK RNA". Rfam says of the family: 7SK was discovered as an abundant small nuclear RNA in the mid-70s but a possible function has only recently been suggested. Two independent studies have found that 7SK RNA binds the CDK9/cyclin T complex (known as elongation factor P-TEFb). P-TEFb activates transcription by phosphorylating the C-terminal domain of RNA polymerase II. Lineage: Eukaryota; Metazoa; Chordata; Mammalia; Lagomorpha; Leporidae. The record is from Rfam by way of RNAcentral.